Non-coding RNA from Dermacentor albipictus, 743 nucleotides. NCBI's taxonomy places the organism in Eukaryota, Metazoa, Arthropoda, Arachnida, Ixodida, Ixodidae. The record is from RefSeq and is a predicted model, not a curated record.
GGCAAUCAUCCUGACGCUUCUUCCGGCCGUCCCCUUUCCUUCGUGCAUGCCAGUUGCGUGCGCAUCAUGGCCCCACGCAAACGAUGACCCGGUGGCAAUUACGACGCAUCUUCGUGCAUCUACUAUCAACGGAACUACACAAUCGGCAUCGCCCUCGCUGUUCCUGGAUCUCGGUCAAGCCAAUCAAGCACCAUCGUCAUCGACAGCCGCCUUCACGGCAGCUAUAAAUCCUCCGCAUCUGUGCGACUCGUUUCGUGGGCUAAGCGGCUGUGCCUCUAGCAUGUCCACUAACCCGCUGCUCUUCGCCAUGCAGGUUUGCGCAUCGAUCCUGAUUCUAGCCUCCGCCACAUCGCCGGUUAUGGGGGACAUUGGACGGCAGCGCUCCGAUUCCCCUGCUCCGAUCGACGAAAUGCUGUGGCAGCUUCCUGGAUUCAUCGCCGACACCCAUCGCCGUGCACCAAAUAUGACUGAUCAUCGCCUCGUGGAAAACGACCCCUGCGCACCAUCGAUGAGCACAGUGACGUCAUACCAUCGUGAUACGUCACGGAUCCUGCCAGCUAUAAAUCUGCUACCGAGACCUACGAUCAUCAGUGGACACGGCAGCCCUGCCGUGACGAUGUCACCUGAAGUGCCUUUGCAUGUGCAGAUUCGGCUUUCCGACACUCCAGGAGGACGUGGAGGACGGUAAGCCGCCUCCGCAUCUAGCCGCCUCGCAUCUACCGCAGGCUGGAGGGUCACUUCCG